CCCUUAGAUGUUCUGGGCCGCACGCGCGCUACACUGAUGCAUUCAACGAGUCUAAAACCUGCUCUGAUAGGGGUGGGUAAUCUUUUGAAUGUGCAUCGUGAUUGGGAUAGAUGAUUGCAAUUUUUCAUCUUCAACGAGGAAUGCCUAGUAAACGCAAGUCAUCAGCUUGCAUUGAUUACGUCCCCGCCCUUUGUACACACCGCCCGUCGCUCCUACCGAUUGAAUGAUCCGAUGAAUAUCAUAGAUUGAGGAUGCAAGUAGGUUCGCCUAUCUUCAUCUUCGAGAAGUGAAGUAAAUCUUAUCAUUUAGAGGAAGGAGAAGUCGUAACA
RNAcentral lists this ribosomal RNA (329 nucleotides) under uncultured eukaryote. Its description in RNAcentral is "partial 18S ribosomal RNA". It matches the Rfam family "Eukaryotic small subunit ribosomal RNA", at positions 1470 to 1796 of the family's 1831-position model. The record is from RNAcentral.